GUACACUCCUACGGGAGGCAGCAGUGGGGAAUAUUGGACAAUGGGCGCAAGCCUGAUCCAGCCAUGCCGCGUGAGUGAUGAAGGCCCUAGGGUUGUAAAGCUCUUUCACCGGUGAAGAUAAUGACGGUAACCGGAGAAGAAGCCCCGGCUAACUUCGUGCCAGCAGCCGCGGUAAUACGAAGGGGACUAGCGUUGUUCGGAUUUACUGGGCGUAAAGCGCACGUAGGCGGACUAUUAAGUCAGGGGUGAAAUCCCGGGGCUCAACCCCGGAACUGCCUUUGAUACUGGUAGUCUUGAGUUCGAGAGAGGUGAGUGGAAUUCCGAGUGUAGAGGUGAAAUUCGUAGAUAUUCGGAGGAACACCAGUGGCGAAGGCGGCUCACUGGCUCGAUACUGACGCUGAGGUGCGAAAGCGUGGGGAGCAAACAGGAUUAGAUACCCCAGUAGUCCC
This 449-nucleotide ribosomal RNA is filed under the name uncultured organism. RNAcentral's name for it is "partial 16S ribosomal RNA". It matches the Rfam family "Bacterial small subunit ribosomal RNA", at positions 331 to 797 of the family's 1533-position model. The record is from RNAcentral.